RNAcentral lists this long non-coding RNA (1375 nucleotides) under Vulpes vulpes (red fox). RNAcentral describes it as "lncRNA (ENSVVUG00000012718.1)". Lineage: Eukaryota; Metazoa; Chordata; Mammalia; Carnivora; Canidae. The record is from RNAcentral.
AUGGCCCCUUCCGUGUUCAAAGCCAGCAAUGGCGAGCCGUUCUGCACCACCCUGACCCUGAUUCUUCUUCACCUCCUCCUUCCACGUGUACGGCCCCUUGUGACUGGGGCCCACCUGGAUAAACCAGGUCAUUCUCCUGGGCCGCGCAGGCCACAGCUGGUCCUGAAGGUGGACAAGGCCGUGGACAGGGCUGGCCUCAGGCCUCGACCACCAUGGAUGGGAGCCCAGACCAAUCUCUCUCAGGCUCAACAGGUCGGAGCCCGCAGGUGCCGGGGCCAGGAGAGAACACCUGGAAGCUCUGCAGGGUGGGGAGAAAGAGCACCUGGUACCUUCAACUCCAGGGACCCGAUGGAUCCUGCCCCCCGCCAAGAUCACAUGGGGGAAGGAGCUAAGUUCGCCCCAGAGAGGACAGGCGCUGGAAGCUGGGAGCAGCCAAAACACAAACGGCAACACAUGCCCACCAUACACCAGAGGAGCAGCUCAUGGAUGGCAACAGUGGCAUCAGCUAGUCAGGUCUUUAAACUUAGAGAAUAUCCAGAUGAUGACAUCACCUACGGAUGAAUGAAGAGCAAAAGACUUUGUGUGGCUACAUUCUCCUACUCCACAUGGGGCCACAUUCGAAGCACACAUUUACAGGUGCAACACCUGGGGGGUUGGCUGGGGAGGUCCUCUCUACACGGACACUUGAAAAUGACUCAAAUCUCCUCCUCCAUGGAGUUUGCUUCACUGAUGGUGCAGUUUCUACUUCAUGCAGACAGAGAGGACGGUGUGAACAACCAAUGGAGACCUCAUCAGAGGUCUGGUCAGGCCCUACCAGAUGCGGCGACAGGCCCAUGAACACCCUGAAAUUGUGUAGAAAACGUUGCAUGUGUGCACACGUAGUUUUUCUGGAGCCAGGUCAGAGCUUUCAUGGGACCCUCAGAUGAAAACAAACACUGUUCUAGAAUAAUGCUUCCUCAACCUUUUCCUGAUGCCCCUGAGGCCUGAAGGGAUACUCUGAGAGAUCAAUUUCCAUCCCACCCAUUCAAGUCAGGCAUAUAAUCCUACCUUCUCGGUCAACACUCCGGACCCACAGGCUCCCUCCCUGCCACCAGAAGCCAGAGUCCUACACCUGACUUGGGUGUUGAAAAGUUGUCUCAUCUGAACACAUCCAGACAGAACUCUUGAUUCGUGUUGCACCCCCCUUCUUUGCCCAGUCUUCCCUAUCACAGUUAAUGAUGACCUUCUUUUCUAGGAAGAGGGAGAACUGUUAAGCUCUGGGUUCAAAUCCCAGCUUUUCUGCUUGCUGGCUGUGUGACUUUAUGCAAACUGAUUAAACUCCCUGUGCCUCAGUGCUGCCUUCUGUGAAAUAUAAACUCUCUGGGCCUUCUUCUUC